Molecule: long non-coding RNA, 953 nt
Organism: Rhinolophus ferrumequinum (greater horseshoe bat)
Lineage: Eukaryota; Metazoa; Chordata; Mammalia; Chiroptera; Rhinolophidae
Exons: 3
Source: RefSeq, a predicted model, not a curated record
CGGUGCAUCAAGCAAAGAUUCCGAGGCGAGGGAGCGGCAUGGGGGACCCGGUGCCCGGAGGGGGGCCCGAAGUUGAUGCACUAACCUGCUCCAGUGACUCCCCGCUGAGAAGGCCAGCACUGCCACUCACCUGCCUGCUCCAGAAGACAAAGGGGCCAGAGGGAGUGUCCAGCGGUCUCGUGGGGAUUCCUGGCCUUCACUAGAGCUCUGAGCCCAAUGUGCCAGCCUUGGAGGGAGAACUAAGGUGGCUUAACUGAGAACAGACUCCUCUGGACUGAGCCGGUCUGCCGAGAGACAGCGAGCCUGGACUGACGUCGGUGUCCUGGGCUGUUGCCAGGACCCUCCUAUGCUCCCCUUCAAUCUUGCUUUGCACUUCUGAGAGCUGUUUCCCGGGCCCUCAGGCCUCUUACUUGGAGAAGCUAGCUACGCCUAUUCCCAUCUGUGAGAGUACAAUUCAGUGGCAUUAAAUACAUCCUCGAUGCUGUGUGCCCAUCACCAUUAUCUAUACUCCAAACUAUUUUUCAAUGUAAAGUAUUUAUUUUGUAAGUCCUAAAAUUAUCAACUAAGAUUUUAUAAAAUAGUGUGAACACACACACAAAAAAAUCAAAUCACAUUCUAUUUUUGAAAUAGUACCAAAAAAUCUAUUGAUAGUACCAAAACUAUUAAUAUUACAAAAAAGUAUCAACGAUGUUCAAUUCAUAUUUUAUGUCCAAACAUACCCUAACCAUAGUUAUCUGCAUUAUUGUGGGCUACUUUAUAUGAUCAUUCUGAUUUUAGGACAAAGUCAUUGUUUAUAAAAGAUGUAUUAUAUCCAAGGAAUGCUAUUCCUCAAAACUUAUGGACAAUGAGGAAUAUAACUCAUUUCCAUAAUAACUUCCCUUUGGUUCCAACUAUCAACAUAUUCUGUAUCAUGAAAAAGAUAAUAAAUAAAAAUUACAAAGAUAACCUGAACA